RNAcentral lists this ribosomal RNA (903 nucleotides) under uncultured bacterium. RNAcentral's name for it is "bacterial SSU rRNA". It matches the Rfam family "Bacterial small subunit ribosomal RNA", at positions 8 to 878 of the family's 1533-position model. The record is from RNAcentral.
AGAGUUUGAUCCUGGCUCAGGACGAACGCUGGCGGCGUGCCUAAUACAUGCAAGUCGAACGAAGCUUUCUUUCACCGAAUGCUUGCAUUCACCGAAAGAAGCUUAGUGGCGAACGGGUGAGUAACACGUAGGCAACCUGCCCAAAAGAGGGGGACAACACUUGGAAACAGGUGCUAAUACCGCAUAACCAUGAACACCGCAUGAUGUUCAUGUAAAAGACGGCUUUUGCUGUCACUUUUGGAUGGGCCUGCGGCGUAUUAACUUGUUGGUGGGGUAACGGCCUACCAAGGUGAUGAUACGUAGCCGAACUGAGAGGUUGAUCGGCCACAUUGGGACUGAGACACGGCCCAAACUCCUACGGGAGGCAGCAGUAGGGAAUCUUCCACAAUGGACGAAAGUCUGAUGGAGCAACGCCGCGUGAAUGAAGAAGGCCUUCGGGUCGUAAAAUUCUGUUGUCAGAGAAGAACGUGCGUGAGAGUAACUGUUCACGUAUUGACGGUAUCUGACCAGAAAGCCACGGCUAACUACGUGCCAGCAGCCGCGGUAAUACGUAGGUGGCGAGCGUUGUCCGGAUUUAUUGGGCGUAAAGGGAACGCAGGCGGUCUUUUAAGUCUGAUGUGAAAGCCUUCGGCUUAACCGAAGUAGUGCAUUGGAAACUGGAAGACUUGAGUGCAGAAGAGGAGAGUGGAACUCCAUGUGUAGCGGUGAAAUGCGUAGAUAUAUGGAAGAACACCAGUGGCGAAAGCGGCUCUCUGGUCUGUAACUGACGCUGAGGUUCGAAAGCGUGGGUAGCAAACAGGAUUAGAUACCCUGGUAGUCCACGCCGUAAACGAUGAGUGCUAAGUGUUGGAGGGUUUCCGCCCUUCAGUGCUGCAGCUAACGCAUUAAGCACUCCGCCUGGGG